UACGAAGGUCCCAAGCGUUAUCCGGAUUUACUGGGCGUAAAGAGCGCGCAGGCGGUCGAGUAAGUCGAGUGUGAAAGCCCCCGGCUUAACUGGGGAGGGUCAUUCGAUACUGUUCGACUUGAAGGCAGGAGAGGGCAGCAGAAUUCCCGGUGUAGUGGUGAAAUGCGUAGAUAUCGGGAGGAAUACCAGUGGCGAAGGCGGCUGCCUGGCCUGUUCUUGACGCUGAGGCGCGAAAGCGGGGGGAGCAAACGGG
This 253-nucleotide ribosomal RNA is filed under the name uncultured bacterium. RNAcentral describes it as "partial 16S ribosomal RNA". It matches the Rfam family "Bacterial small subunit ribosomal RNA", at positions 524 to 776 of the family's 1533-position model. The record is from RNAcentral.